RNAcentral lists this unclassified non-coding RNA (253 nucleotides) under Hevea brasiliensis (rubber tree). Lineage: Eukaryota; Viridiplantae; Streptophyta; Magnoliopsida; Malpighiales; Euphorbiaceae. The record is from RNAcentral.
AUUGUCUUCAAGCUCUUCCAUGCAAUAAAUAAGAGCUCCAUUGGGACCAAGACCAAGUUCCUCCAUAACAUCAUCCAAGGAAAUGAGUUCCCUGAUAUCCAUAGCCACAGGAUAAUCAAAAUGUUCUGCAGCAGGAUCUAGGUUCACAAUGUGUAUUGACCGCCUGACUGUUUCACAAUGUUGGUACAAACUAGAGCAAUAAGUGGACUUUCCACUGCCUGCAGGGCCAAUUACAAGUUGUGCAUAGCCCAUU